CCAAUGGGGCUUGCGCGCGGGAGGAGCGCCGAGUUUGAACCAGGGGCGCCGGUGAGGGUGUCGUGGGGUUGGGGGAGCGCGCGGAAGCGCGCUUCCGGGCCCUGAACCCACGAGCCAGCGGCGACACCGGCAGCGGGGACCGACGGAGGGGCUGGCCCUGCGUGUGCCGGGGACUGCGACACUUGAGUGCAAACGGGGAUGGAAACAUCUGUAUGACAGAAAACCUGGCCUCUUACUGCUAGGACUCUCCUCUUGGCUCCAAGCCUUGAGGGCAGUGAAGAGACAGAGAAAAGGUAAAGCCUAAGGACUUGGGUUUUACAAAACUGUUGCCGGCUCUGUAUGUCAUAUAAUGUCGCUGGGCUCGGUGACACACGCCUGUCAUCCCAGCACUGGGGAGGGUGAGGCAGGAGGAUGGCCAAGGGUUUGAGGCCAGCCUGGGCUACACAGCGAGACCCUGUCUCAAAAAAACAAAAUAAAACAAGAGUGGCUAAUACUGAGCCAGAGGACCUGGGGACAGGUUGGAAUGAACUGGUUUAGUCCUCACAAUAGCCUUGUGGGAUAAGGGCUAAGAUUCACAGCUGCCAGGCUUGGAAGGGAGGGACAGAGAAGUCAGCCCAACCAGAGAACAGCACCUGCAUUUUCCCAGUGAGACUCAGUGCUGUGCUUCUUCCAGUCCGUUUUCUCUUCCUGUCACCACAUCCCAUGCUCAACAGCGUCACCCAUUCAGUCCUUCUCUGCUUGUUACUGAGUCUCUCCACCCCAGAGAGAUAUUUGUCUCUCUGUCUUUGUAACCAAAGCAAUUUAAGCAAUCAUCAGAGUACUGUACAAACCACAUUCCUUUUCCACAAUUAAAUUAUAAGUACAAAUGGAAAAGAAAUCUACAUGUGGAAAUUUUAAAAAUACACUUAACUCAGACAAAUAGGGCAUCAUAAUUAUAAUUAAAAGAUAAUAGGGCCGGGGAUUUAGCUCAGUGGUUCUACCACCUACCUCGCAAGCACAAGGUCCCAACUUCGAUCCCUAGUACCAAAAAAAGAUAAGCCAGAAGAGGUGGGGCACAUCUAUAAUCCCAGCAUUUGGGAGGCUGAAACAAAAAGGCUCACAAAUUUGAGGUCAGCCUGAGCUACAUAGUGAGACCUUGUUUCAAAAAAACAACAGGAAACAAAAACAAAAGCUUUGGGGGCCAGGGGUGUUGUUCAGGGAUAGGACACUUGCUUAGCACACAGGAUACCCUGGGUCUGGCCCUCUCCCAUGUGAGUGUGCACACACACACACACAAGCUUUUGGACAGGGCUGGGGAUGUAGCUCAAUGGUUCUGCUUUCUGCCUCACAAGCACAAGAUCCUGAGUUCGAUCCCCAGUACCUAGGGGGGAAAAAUAAAUAAAAUCUACCUUAAGGGCUAGGGAUACAGCUCAGUAGUAGAGCAUGUGCUUAGCGUAUGUGAAGCCCUGGGUUCAAUCCCUAACACCACAAUAAAUAAACAAACAAACUACCUUCAUACACAUUAAAAACUCCACCAGAAAUUUAUAGGCAAUUGGAAAAACAAUUCUAUUAUACAGACCUUUCUUUUCUUUUCUUUUUUUGGUACCGGGGUUCGAACUCAGGUCCUUGCGCUUGCCAGGCAGGAGGCAGAACCACUGAGCUAAAUCCCCGGCCCUAUACAGACCCUUCACAGAACACUUCAGUCUAUUUUAUGAUUCCAGAAAUGAGAUAAAAAAAUUACAAGUCAAUCUCUUUUAUAAAUGUAGUUGUAAGAAAAAUCUUAAUAUUAGCUAUCAGAGGUCAGCAAUGUAUAAAAUAAUGUUAUAACCAUGUGAAGUCUACCCCAGGAAUGCAAGAAUGGUUUAACAUUAGAAAAUCUAUCAGUGGCCAGGUAUGAUGACACACAUUUGUAAUCCCAGGGACUCUGGAGGCUGAGGCAGGAGAAUAGUGAGUUCAAGGCCAACCUGGGCAAUUUAGACUCUGUCUCAAAGUAAAAAAUAAAAAGGGCUGGGGAUGUAGUCCACCACAGUGCUUGUGUCGCAGGCAGAAGGCCCUGGGUGCAAUCCCCAGCUCUAAAAAAAUGAACAAAAGAGCUGAGGAUUUAGAGUGCAAGGUCCUGAGUUCGAUCUUUGGUGGGGGGUCAACCCAAACCAAAGAAUGCAGUUCCUCCUCUGCACCACCAGCCCAGGAGGGGGCGUGGUGGGCGUCAAGGUGAGGGAAGCUGGACAUCUGGAGACACAGUGGCGCCUCUGGUGACAGAGCUGGUCAAGUCCCCUGGGCUUGCCUUCUCACCACCUGUGUGAUGGGCUGAGUUCCUUCCUGUGUCCCUUUACCUUCGAAGAAUAGAGCUGUAACAGUUAUUCAGUGCUCAUAUAGCGAGGUUGCUGUGCAAGCUAAACACCAUUUGUGAAGCACUUAGUCCAGAGUACUUAGCACCCAGGCACCUGGGCCCAGCAUGCAGCCGAUGGUGCAUAAUAUUUGUCCUACGAAGGAGUUCUUUUUUUGGUACUGGGGAUGGAACUCGGGACCUUGUGCUUUCGAGGCAGGUGGUGGAACCACUGAGCUAAAUCCCCAGUCCUGUCCUACGAAUGAAUCAGAGCCAGGGAAGAGUCUGAAUCCAAGAGUAGAAGAAUUAUUACCAAUGCAGCAAAUCCUCACCCAGCUCUUUAAGUGCCCCACACUAUGGGACAGACCGUCAGAGCAGGGUUCUGCUGUCCAGGGCCUAAGGACAAGAACCAAGUGAAGGGGCUGUGGUGAGACUUGCAACAGCAGCAUGACCCAGGGCCAGGUCCCUGCCCUGCCCUUCCCAGCUCCUGAAGUUGCAGGGGGGCCCCCAAGUCCUAGAAAUCCCUCUGACCCUCAAGGAACUGUUGUUUGUUGGGCCUGUCCCCACCCAGGUGGGCAGAAGUGGCCACCCUGACAACAGCCUAGCCUGGGCAGUGCUCUUGCCUGUGGGUUUUAAUGAGCUGCCCUGGGUUAGAACUAGGACGGGACUGCGCUGGCUGAGAACCCUGAAGAUCUUAUUAAAGGAUCAUCUUCCUUGUACUUUGGGCUGAAAUGCUCUUUCCAAGUGAGGAUCAAAGCAAACUUGACAAAGGUUCUUUCAUUAAUCUCCCAUUCCCCGGGGCGGGAGCUGUUCCCUCCUUGACGUUGAUGCAAAACCUCCCUCCGAGGCAGGCAGAGCGGAGACCUGGACCCUGGUGACCCAGGGCACCUGUGCGAGUGUCACCUGCAUCCCGACCCCGUGGCCCCAGCACUGGCUCAGAAGAAGGGGGUCAUCUCAGGCAAACACGCUCCCCCCUGGCCCUCAGCAGGCAGGGAGGAGGGAGUGUAAAGGUUAGGCAGCUCUUCUGCCGGUGCCCUUUUUAAUUUCCUGCUUAGAAUGUUAGGCUGCUCUGUGGCUCCGCCACUGCACUGCCCAGCGGCCUUAGCUCUCGCUGUGGUGCUGGGAUGGGGGUGGCCAGGCAGUGCAGACCCAGCCACCUUUGCCUUCACUUCCCCCGGCCGGAAAGCAGGCUUCCCGGGUUGAGAACAGGGGGUGGAACAUUAGGCCAGGCCCACACAUCUGCAAGUGCUAGCGUAUCCCUGAGGCCAGCAGGCGAAAGGGACUGUAAGCAUCAGAGGGUGUUACUACAACCGCCCACCCGCCGUCAGGCUUCACUGGCAGCGGACUGGACUGGGGCAAGGUGAGCCCUCUGUGUCUCAGGUUCCUCACUGAGAAAUGAGGAUAAUCACCCAGUCUGUGCACGGGAUUGCGAUGGGGUGGAAGAUGAUGAGUGUAAGGUACUAGAGUGAUCCCUGCUGGAGUCUGUUAUGCCAAUCCGAUUGCCAGGACGAAAAUGGAAUUAUUCAGAUGUACAAGCAUUAUUGUGGGGUGAUGUUUUUCCCUCUUUUUGUAUGCAGAAGUUAAGUUUAGAGGUGAGGGGGCAGGAAUUUCAAAUUAGCUCAGUUCUGGCUGUUUCCCAAGGAGAACCUGAGCACUUGUUGGAGUGCUGGGUAGAAAGCCCACUUUUCUUAGCUGGAUGACCUCGGAGUUUGUGACCCAUGGCAGCAUGCAGCCUUCUGGGGGAAAGCUUGGGUCGGUUCUCAGCCUGGGAGCAGCUCCGCUUCUUAACCCUGUUGACCGAUCCCUGGAGUUGGGCUAAAGUUCCCCAGGGGACCUGUGACUCCUGCAUUCCAAAAAUGUUGAAGGUGGC
Heterocephalus glaber (naked mole-rat) is the source of this 4175-nucleotide long non-coding RNA. NCBI's taxonomy places the organism in Eukaryota, Metazoa, Chordata, Mammalia, Rodentia, Bathyergidae. The record is from Ensembl.